Molecule: non-coding RNA, 30 nt
Filed under: Mus musculus (house mouse)
Lineage: Eukaryota; Metazoa; Chordata; Mammalia; Rodentia; Muridae
Source: RNAcentral
UAAUUCAGGCUGCAUCCAGAACUACUCUUU